Molecule: unclassified non-coding RNA, 144 nt
Filed under: uncultured Mortierella
Lineage: Eukaryota; Fungi; Mortierellomycota; Mortierellomycetes; Mortierellales; Mortierellaceae
Description: sequence contains ITS1
Source: RNAcentral
UAAUAAGUGUUUUAUGGCACUUUUUUAAUCCAUAUCCACCUUGUGUGCAAUGUCAGUCGAUCUUCUUUAUGGAGAUCGGCCAAACAUCAACCUUAUUUUUUAACUCUUUGUCUGAAAAAUAUCAUGAAUAAACAAUUCAAAAUA